This 85-nucleotide transfer RNA is filed under the name Felis catus (domestic cat). It matches the Rfam family "tRNA". From Rfam's summary of the family: Transfer RNA (tRNA) molecules are approximately 80 nucleotides in length. RNAcentral also lists the same sequence under 1 other name. Lineage: Eukaryota; Metazoa; Chordata; Mammalia; Carnivora; Felidae. The record is from Rfam by way of RNAcentral.
ACCUGGGUGGCUCAGUCGGUUGAGCAUCUGACUUCGGCUCAGGUCAUGAUCUCACAUUUUGUGGGUUCGAGCCCCGCCUCAGGCU